GCUCCUAUAAUUCAAUGGUAGAAUAGCAGACUUUUAAUCUGUCUAUCCCAGUUCAACUCUGGGUGGGGGCA
Molecule: transfer RNA, 71 nt
Filed under: Eubacterium sp.
Lineage: Bacteria; Bacillati; Bacillota; Clostridia; Eubacteriales; Eubacteriaceae
Description: tRNA-Lys
Rfam family: tRNA
About the family: Transfer RNA (tRNA) molecules are approximately 80 nucleotides in length. Their secondary structure includes four short double-helical elements and three loops (D, anti-codon, and T loops).
Source: RNAcentral